This is an RNA transcript of Mauremys mutica (yellowpond turtle), 2381 nucleotides long. RefSeq lists it as uncharacterized. The record is from RefSeq and is a predicted model, not a curated record. Lineage: Eukaryota; Metazoa; Chordata; Testudines; Geoemydidae. The transcript has 15 exons.
CAAUAUGGGGUUUUUGGACCGUCUCUGCCAAAGACUGAUUCAGACCAUUGGACGGACACCUUUCCGAACGGACAGGACAGAUCUGGACUCCAACCAGCCAGGCCCCACUGACUCUUCUGUCCCAGACACAGAGGAGCAGAAGGUGGCCCAAAAACAAGACCCGGCACCACAAACCGUGGCUGCAGGAGCAGGCAGCCACUGCAGCACUUUCUGUGCUCAGCCUCCUGAUCCAGGCACCAAGCGAAAGGCCUAUUCGUCACCCAGGGGACAGCUUGCCCCAGUCAGCAAGAAUGAGGAAAGGCCAAUGAAGACCAGAAGCCUUGCUUGUGUGAGGGACAUGGAUGAGGCUGCCCUGAGGAAAGACAUUGGCACCCUCUUCCCAGCGCUCGACUCCAUGGUGUGUCAUCUACCCAGAGAGCACCUGGAGGAGCGGAGAGAGACCCUGGACUCUCUGGUCCAUCUGGCUCGCUUGUUCCUGGUGGAGCUGCUUGUGUUCCUGUUCAGGAGGCUGAACAAGGAUGAGGAAGAGGAGACCUGUGCCAGUCUCUUCAUUCUGGACCGGCUAGUCCAAUCCAACAUUUCUGAAAUGACACACCAUACAGAGAAGCUGUUCAUAGCCCUGGGGCCAAUCCUGCAGAGCACAAGCAUACGGGAGGAAGCAGACGGGAGGUGCACCAUGGAGCUCGAGGUCCGCCAGCUCUGCUCCAGCACCCUGCAGUCCCUGGGUGACUCCCCCAGAAUGGCCAAUGUUUUAUGGCCUGGGCUGCUCCUUCAACUGAGCCCAGCAGCCCAUGGGCCAGCCCUGCCUCUCCUCCUGCAGACCUCGGUCGGGGUGGUAAAGAGGAUGCCGGAGAAAAGCAGGCUGCCCCUGGCCAGGACGCUACCCAGGGGCAGCUUGGGGCCAGUGAAACAGACAACUAUACCCUGGGUAGCGACUGCUGUUCUGAACUAGGCACUGACCCCCAAUUCCUUCCAGGACUCUGACCUUGUCACCGGGCCGCUUAUCACUGUGACCCAGCUGGCGCCUGAUACUAGCCAUGAAACAGCCCAGCCAGACCCUUCUACUGAGGAGCAGCCUGCAACCUCUUGUUUCGCAGAACUUUCUCUACAAGUGCUGGGGCUAAUGUUUUCUCCAGCAGAGAGCACCAAGCCCCAACUAUGGCUUCUGGUGGAGAUGGUCAAUUUCCGAGAAGAAGUGGAAAGAGAGGGAUUUGCCUGAGCGCUUGGGCUGUGUGCCAGGCAACACCUAUACAAGAUUUUCGCCAUCCUGGAGCACUGGGACGAGUUCGUCAGCAGGGUGCAGCUCCAGCCUUCUGCCGGUGGCUCUCUGGAGGAGCCAGCUUCCAUCGAGCAGCUGAGAAGCCUCCUGCUCCUCACCUAUGGGCACGUGGUCCACUCAGGCCCCACGGAUCUCAUCCUAGAGACCAUAGGCUGCAAGAUCCUGUCUCCCAUGCGGCAACACUAUUUUCUGAGCCCACACGACCCGCUGGUGAGAUCUGCUUUUGUGAGAAGCCUCGUGCUGGUGGGUGAAGCUGUCACCCAAGUAAGCAGGAUUCCCUUGGUGAGCCAGGACACAUACACCAUGCUGUCUCCCCUGCUGGAAAUUCGAGCCUCGCCUGCCUAAGGAACAGGAGGCUGAGACCAUCAGCACUUGUAUCGCCAGCGCCAUGAUUCAGCGCCCAGCCCUGGCGAAGCUGAGAGGGACUGAGGUGGCAGAAAUCUCCACUCUCCAGGCAGAAGUUAGUGAGGCAUGGACAAAGCUGCAGCUUCCACCUUCCUCCUUGGCUGGGAAACUCAGCCACCCCCCUGCUGAGUAGCUGGACCCUGGCCCAAUGCAGAGAGCUGCGUGUCCAGCCGAAUCCAGCCCCUCGGUUUAUUUUCCAAAGGGCUGGUGACAAGUGGCUAUGCAGUUAACUCUGCAAUUGGGUUGGCAGGGAGGACAGCUGUAGAGGUGAGUGUCUGUGAGACUGUACAGAAUUACCCUGGAUUCUUGGCACAGGGAACUAGAACCUACCCCCAGUUUACACCAGCUGGGGAUCUGGCCCAGAGUGUUAAAUAGCAUUUGGUGCAAAGGGAGCAAAGCAUGGAUUCGGGACAGCCACACGGCCAGGCCAUGCCUUGCCCUGCCACAGAAACAGAGACUGGCUGGAGCGGGGAUGAACAGCUCAGCCCUUGGCAAUCCAGCGAGGUGUUGGGGGGCAGCUUGGGCCCCUCCAGAGGCGGAGGGAGGAGGCCUUCCCUCCAGAGCCCCGCUCAGUACAUGUGUUGGGGAGCCCAGUUGGGAGGAAGGAUUCUUUGGUGAAGGGCAGCGCAUGGUCCAGGUGAGACCCAUGUCUAUGUGCAGGGGGAUCGAUAUCAACCUGCGUAAAGGGACCCCAAAU